This 962-nucleotide unclassified non-coding RNA is filed under the name Hevea brasiliensis (rubber tree). Lineage: Eukaryota; Viridiplantae; Streptophyta; Magnoliopsida; Malpighiales; Euphorbiaceae. The record is from RNAcentral.
CAUAUUAAAAACAAAUUUUUCUUAAAUAAAAAUCAUAAAAGCACACAGCAUCAUAUGGUAAAAUAUAGCUUUACACUUUAGGUGUUUAGAAACGCUUGAGAUGAUUUAAGUUUGGCUGGGUAAGGUGGAGAGUUGGCAAGCAACCCAUUAACAAGGAAGAGUAAGAUAUAAAGUCCCCAAUGAUUUUUAAUAAAGCUAUGGUUUGGAAAUGAUUACAGAGGCUUUCGAUAGAAAAAGAUCAUUUUCAAAGAUGGAUGCCAAACCUAAGGUGGUAACAGUAGCUUAUGAGAUGGGAUGGGGCUAUAAAUCUAAUACAAGGCAUGAAAUGACUAUUUUACACAUUUUGUGAAGUCUGCCCUUUUUUGAUGUGAUAUUUGGUCAGGUACUUCCUCUCUAAAUGAUUGCUUCUCUGAACUUUGUGUUGGCCACAGAUUAAUGUUUUUGCAAAUUCUUGCACUAGCAUGUAAGUUGUUUGAGAUGGAAUGUGCCUUUAGCGAGGUAUGCCCUAAACUUUUUUGAGCUAUUGAAUAAGAUAUUUUGUGGUGAAAUCCUUUUUAUAAAGCCACAUUGAUAAAGGGAAGGAGCAAACAUUUGCAUUGAAAGGAAAUUUGGAAGACAUAUACAUCUUAAAAUAUUUCUUCUUUCUUUCUCCCUUUUUGUCUUUUUUUUUUUGGCUUAGAUUUUUGCAAAUAGAUGUUACCUUUGAAAGUGUGAUGUCAAAAUAGUGAACUGCUUGUUAUUGCGUUGCAGUUGGAUCAAAGUCAAAGAAUUGUGUAAUUUUGCCCACUUUUGAAUAAAAGCAAGGCCAAAAUGGAAGGAGAGUUGUGGAUAUAACAGGGUAUAUGUUGUCGUACAGGUAAAAAAGGAAAACACUUUUAAACCCUCUUACUACUUCUUGGACAAUUUGGAGAGAACUCAACAAAAGGGGCAUUGGCACAAAGGAAAGUUCUCUCUCUUUUCCU